UACGGAGGGUGCGAGCGUUAAUCGGAAUUACUGGGCGUAAAGCGUGCGUAGGCGGCUUGAUAAGUCGGUUGUGAAAGCCCCGGGCUUAACCUGGGAAUUGCAUCCGAUACUGUUAGGCUAGAGUGUGGCAGAGGAUAGUGGAAUUUCCGGUGUAGCGGUGAAAUGCGUAGAUAUCGGAAGGAACACCAGUGGCGAAGGCGACUGUCUGGGCCAACACUGACGCUGAGGUACGAAAGCGUGGGUAGCAAACAGG
RNAcentral lists this unclassified non-coding RNA (253 nucleotides) under uncultured Gammaproteobacteria bacterium. RNAcentral's name for it is "contains 16S-23S intergenic spacer region". It matches the Rfam family "Bacterial small subunit ribosomal RNA", at positions 524 to 776 of the family's 1533-position model. Lineage: Bacteria; Pseudomonadati; Pseudomonadota; Gammaproteobacteria. The record is from RNAcentral.